This 254-nucleotide ribosomal RNA is filed under the name uncultured bacterium. RNAcentral describes it as "partial 16S ribosomal RNA". It matches the Rfam family "Bacterial small subunit ribosomal RNA", at positions 524 to 776 of the family's 1533-position model. The record is from RNAcentral.
UACGGGGGGAGCAAGCGUUGUUCGGAUUUACUGGGCGUAAAGGGCGCGUAGGCGGCCAGCACAAGUCAGUUGUGAAAUCUCCGAGCUUAACUCGGAAAGGUCAACUGAUACUGCGGGGCUAGAGUGCGGAAGGGGCAACUGGAAUUCUCGGUGUAGCGGUGAAAUGCGUAGAUAUCGAGAGGAACACCUGCGGCGAAGGCGGGUUGCUGGGCUGACACUGACGCUGAGGCGCGAAAGCUAGGGGAGCGAACGGG